UACGUAGGGUGCAAACGUUGCUCGGAAUCACUGGGCAUAAAGCGCACGUAGGCGGUUGCCUAAGUUGGAUGUGAAAUCCCGUGGCUCAACCAUGGAACUGCAUCCGAUACUGGGCGACUCGAGGAAGGUUGGGGUGAGUGGAACUCCAGGAGGAGCGGUGAAAUGCGUAGAUAUCUGGAGGAACACCGGUGGCGAAAGCGUCUCACUGGACCUUUACUGACGCUGAGGUGCGAAAGCUAGGGGAGCGAAUGGG
RNAcentral lists this ribosomal RNA (253 nucleotides) under uncultured bacterium. Its description in RNAcentral is "partial 16S ribosomal RNA". It matches the Rfam family "Bacterial small subunit ribosomal RNA", at positions 524 to 776 of the family's 1533-position model. The record is from RNAcentral.